Non-coding RNA from Misgurnus anguillicaudatus (oriental weatherfish), 1411 nucleotides. Lineage: Eukaryota; Metazoa; Chordata; Actinopteri; Cypriniformes; Cobitidae. The record is from RefSeq and is a predicted model, not a curated record.
AACGUACGUUUUGUCUUUAUUUGUUCAUACACUGUGUUAUUCAUUAAUCAUGGGUAUUCAUAAUUUCACACCAUACGUUUGUAAACCCUGGAUUUCGUUCAUUUAAAAUAUUUAUAAGGUCAAUAAGUAAGUUUUGGAUGAACACAAGUCACGACAGCAGAGAGCAGGGUUGUAUUGCAGCAAAACUGGUGAUCUAAUUACCAGCAGUUUCUGUCAUCCCACCAGAUGGCGCUCUCAAAAGUUUCUGGGCUAUUUGAACAAAGACCCUGUUGAGUUGUGAAUACUUCAAAGAACAGUGGAAACAAGUAUGUCUGUGUAACAUCACGCAGUAGCUUCAUGUAUGGAUACUAAGAGUCAGUACAGUGACCCCUCUAUAAGCCGCAGACCUCAGCACAGUCGGUUUGCACAUUGACAGGCUCCACUCCCUGUGGGUUUGGCCUGGAUUUGACCCGCAGCUUGUGGGUGCUCAUGGGAGGAAGGUAGAUGGAUAGCAGGCUGUAGAAGUGGAGAGGGCAGCUGUGGUGUUGUGGCUACAGCAUGCUGUCCCAUUAGUACACCCCUGGGAAGGGACAGACCUGGAGGACAAGAAGACAAGUCUGGAUUAGCUCAUAAAUCACAACCCAGGGGACCCAAGAGAUGCUGUGACAUCAUCAUUCAGAGACAGACCGCUGGGUUGACUACAUACUCCCUGCUAGUGUAUCUGUGGUCACGCAGUGAUCCAGCAUUGGCUGGCGGCCCUGACCUCAGCUCUUCCCAGCUGGUGCAUGGGACGGCGGGCACUGCCAGGCCGCAGUUAUACCUAAAUGGGCUGAAAGCGCAGACACCGCAAUGUGCCCGUGUGUGUGUGUGUCCGCAGCGAAAGGGGAUGUGGUUGUUUCACCAGCGACCCUGCUAUACCAAUGCCACAUACCGGUGCAGGCCCACCCAAGAGCUCCAAAACACCAGUAACCCAAUUACCCACCCAGCACCUGGCAACAACGCUGCAGUGGCUUGAAUCGUGGCUGUGCAUCAAAGGUAAAGAGCUCUACCAAAUGUGGUGCUUUCUGUCCGCUCUAAUUCACGUCAACUCCAAAGCCUCCGCGCUCACUGUAACAGCAGCGCAGUGCUGAGGGACGAACGCUUUGUGUUUAAUGAAAGCCGACACCUCACUCUUAAACCCAUUGGCUAGAGGUUGAUGGAGUGGAAGAGUGCUUCUCUCCAAGGUACUGCAGGCCCAGAUCUCUCAUUGAGACGUCUCAAGGCGCUGGGGGCAGAAACUGUGUGUCACCCAGGAUCUGAGAUGCCCUGAGGGUCAGGCUUAUCUGGAGAUAUCAAAUGGGAAGAUUCAGGAGUCAAACCAGCUUAUAUUCUGUGUUGUACCGUGUCCCACAGCCCAGCUGUUUUGUGUGACGGUAAAUGCAGAUUUUGUGCA